Long non-coding RNA from Felis catus (domestic cat), 13047 nucleotides. RefSeq lists it as uncharacterized. NCBI's taxonomy places the organism in Eukaryota, Metazoa, Chordata, Mammalia, Carnivora, Felidae. The record is from RefSeq and is a predicted model, not a curated record. The transcript has 4 exons.
UCCCAAGCAGGCUCCACACUGUCCGGACUCGGGGCUCAGACUCAUGAAACCGUUGAGAUCAUGACCUGAGCCGAAACCAAGAGUUGGAUGCUUAACCAACGGAGCCACCCAGGUACCCCUAGGACCAGAUAUAUCUUUAGCUUACCAGCAAUAUAAGUCAUGUUCUCUGAGUCUCCGUUUCCACAUCGGAAACAUGGGCAUAAUAACACUGCGUACAGCUAUCAUGAAGAGAUAAUGAACGAUUCAAAGAGGUAACUUAGUGCCUGCCACAUAGCAAGUGCCCAAUCAAUAUUAGCUGUUACUUUUAUUGUAUUUAUUCAAAAGUAAACUAAGUCUCUCCUUUCCAGGUAUAAAUAUAAGCUGGCCAAAAAUAGCAUUUAAAAAAUGUGUAAGAGGACACGGACGUUUUCUAAGGGAGAGGGCAGUUUCGGUUUCCCCUCAGUGGUCCUCGCACUGUGUGGAGGAGAGGAGAGGAACCUGUCUCUGGUUGUGGGUACCAUGUUGUAGGAAACGGUUUGGGGGAGGGGCCCCAUGAGUUUCUCUCAACGUGGCUGCUCAGUGACGCUCACCUGCAUUCAGCUUUAGGAAGGGGCCCCACACUGUAGCACAGACCUGGUACUUCCCCCACACUGUUGGAGAGCCUGUACCCGGACACAUGGGAGGCUCCCACACAGGCCCGCGUGACCGCCCCCCUCCCACUGCCCCUUCCUGGGAAGGGGAAGGGUGGGCAAGCUCUGUGACUCACUCCCUGGCUCUGUGCCCUCUCGCUGAGUCACAAUGUAAUUGAUCCCUCCCUGCGCCAGGUUUCUACUCUCAUGUGACCCAAAGCAGGGUCAUUUCCAGACCAGGGUUGGGGAGGCCUGGCUGGGGAGAGGCAAUCCCGGGAAGGAGGGGCAGACCAUCAGAACCGAGGAUGGCACUGAGCCUUGUGCGUGACUUUCCUGGAUAUCUGCUGAGGUGUUGUGUUUGUAAGAGGGGUUGGUCUACUGCCUACCAACAUAUACAUAUUCUCAUUGGCCUCCAUUGGUGUUUCCAUCAGGGUAGGGCUGUCUGUAUAAAAUAAUGCCAAUAGGAAAUAAUGAAGGUCUCUGGGCACCUCCUUGAAGAUGCCCUUGGUGUUUGUGCUUCUGGGACGAGGCUGGUCAUCUUUAUUUCUAAAAUGAGUUGUGGGCUUGGGGAAGCUGAGGAGUGGGAGGUAGAAGGGUGGGGAUGUGUGAUCCACACAUCAUAUGAGGGCAGUGUCACCCCUUGGGCCACAACCUUAUGCCACCCUUGGCUCAGAAAGAAAAGGACGACCUCUCAUCCUGAUGCAAUGGGAAAUUCUGGCUGGCAGGGAUAAAAUCACAAGUACUGGCCUGGUGGCAGAAGGCAGAUUUAGGGUCACCUCUGCAAGGUCUUCUCCGAUAGACAGAUCUGGGGUGUGGUUUAUAGGCCCCUAUCCAGCAAUUGUCACAUGGGCCUUGUUAUUGACAGCAUCACUGUCCCACCUUGGACAGGUCAUGUAUCUCUCUUGGUAUCCUCAGUUAUACACUUGGCAUAAAAUUCUCUUUUUUAUCCCAGAGAGGCAUCUAAUGAAUGUAUAAAGCCCUAAGAAAUAGCCAAUGAUAUUGUUAUAAACUUGCCCCCUCCCCAUUUCCCUGUUGCCUGCCCUUGUCCUGACCUAUGAGCUGGCAGCCACACGGUGGGAUCUGUGCCCCCUUUGGGUCUUAGUGACAGUUCUCAGUCCCAGUUCAGAGACGAUUCCUGCUCAACCUCUGAGAGCAGAGUCAGGGCUUGAUGGGGUUUCAUGUCAGGAGUCACUCCUGUGGCCAUCGAGCAACAGAGGGGGCUUAAUCCAGGCUCUGAUGGGAUUCAGGCAAAACUUGUGUGCCCUUGGGUCACCUGGUUCCCCUCUCUGGACCUCAUUCUCUGAUUUAUGAGAUGGGGAUGGUAACCCUUGCUCCGUACCUCCUGGGGAGUGGGGAGGGCCAGAGGCAAGGGUGGGAUGGCUUCUCAGAAUGCAGGGUAUUUAUAUUGUAGACCUGCUCCUUUCCCCACCCACCCUGUCCCUGCCUCUGCACAGUCCCGGACUCACAGCGGCCUUGAGAACAGAAAGAACAGCCUAGUUCUCACAUCCAUCCUCCUCCUCCUGAUUAUUUCUCCCAAUCACACUUAAUAGCCGCCUGGCUUUUGGCUGCAGCCCGGUAUAUAAUAACCUGCAAUUAUUGUCCACUUAAGCUGUCCCCAGGGCCUUGUCUGUUGCGCUGCCCAGGCCCGCACCGCCAGCCUGCUGAUUUCCCCGUCAGAGUCGUGGCCAAUGGGAAGAAAGCCCCUGAAGGGCUGGACUGACAACCUGUUCCGCAGGGCUGUCCCCCUCCGCAGCUGCAUCUUCUUCAGAGAUGGGGCCUCAGAGGCAGCCUGCUCCAGCCACAGCCUCAUCCAGCCUGGGUGCCCCACUUCUCUGGGCCAUCCAUGGCCAUCCUCUUCCUCUGCCCCAUCCAUGCAUUGUCUCAUUUCAGCCUCUGUGCCUUUGUCUACCCACACCUGAUGCUCCUGCUUACUAUAGCCCAGCCCCUUUACAGGCUUAGUUCAUUCUCUCUGCAUCCUUAUAAGGGAGGCAUUGGCAUUUUACAUACCAGGCUACUGAAGACCAGAGAGGUUGGGUGUCUUUCCUAGGACCACACAGCCAGGAAGUGACAGAGCAAAAAUUCAAAAUCAGUUUGGUUGACUCCACCGUUCGCUUGUUUAAUCCUGAUGCUGUGCUGUCAGCUGUCUUCAUCACAAGUCCUAUCCCGCCUUAGUGGUGCUGCUCAGUGUUCCCUCCUUUGGAAAGCCGGCUCCAUCACUGCAGUAGCACUGGUCUCCACUACUCUGAAUGCUUGUGACCCUAGAGUUGGAACCAGGUGCCCUGGAUCCCAUGAAGGCAGAUCAUGAGUCCCCCUGCUUGCCCCUCCUCUGCCGUGUUGAUUCACAAAGCAUCUCUGUGCACAGACUGGAUACAGCUGAGCUCCGGUCAGUGUUCGAGUCUCCCCUUCCCCGAACUUUGCUUCAUAUUCUCUUAAGCCUCUCUCCCAGAGCCUGAUCCUUCUGCUCCUGACAAGUUUCUCCCCUACCUGUAUGGUAGACAUUUGCAUUAUGUCUGUGGCUCUACCUGGCCAUGAUAGUGGUGAUGCUGAUGCUGAUGCUGAUGACAUAAGUUGAUCCUAGGCCAUGAAAGGACAUGUAGGUCCUGUGCCACCGUUGGGAGAAGGCAGAGUCUGAGGGUGUUGGUAUUAUCACACCAUUCAGAAUCUAUUAAUUAAGUGACCAGAGGGACAAAAGAAAGUGUCCAGACCCUAAGUGAGGGCCUUUAUCCUGAGUGCUGGCUAUCUUGGCAUGUGUCUCUGUGUGUCUGUCAGUGAGCGCAUAUGUAUGUGCGUAUGUGUGUGCAGGAUCUAGAGUGCGGUGGUGACAAUGGGCUGUGUGGCCCGUUGGGGCCUAAGGUGAGUAGAGUCAGGACUCACCCGACUGUAGGCUAGAGGGACCUAGGGCCUGAGAGCUGAAAGGCUUUGAAGGUUGCUGUGUGCAGAGGGUCUUCCUGGCUGCUGUCGUACCAGCGGUUGCACUGAGCUCUGGGCUGUCAGUGGCGGAGGACCAGGAGGCCUGUGGCCUAGUCCACCUACCUACCUAGGCCCCAGGCUGAAUGUUCCUCUCCAGCUUUGCCCCAGGGACACUUCCUUUCCCCUUCCAGGCUCACUCACCCUUUGCAUGAAUGUUCCUCACACCUGCUUGCAUUUUUCAGUUCUUUGUCUUGGAAACAGAUUCUCAGCAAGAAGACUGUUGGGAUAUAGGUUUUGGGGAGCCCAAGGCCCUCUCUGGUCCCUCAAAUCUUACAGGCUAAGUCUGAGGCUGGCCUGAAGGUGAACUGCCAUGAGGAUCAUCUGGUGCCUCAGGAACGAGCCAGGCUUCCCUCUUGGAUGCCACCGUAGAGUCAUCGGUUCAGAGGGAGGCAGUGGGCCUUCUGCCUUGGCUUCUGGCCAGCCGCCCUGGUGCAGACCCUGUCAUCUCCCAGCCCUGCCCUGACUCUCAGGCUGCAAAUGCCCCUGUCAUCUGGCCAUCAGCCCAGGGGUGAGAUCUCUCCUGAAGGGCUAGGAAGGGAUCCUCAGGCAGGGGCAGCACAGGUGAGCACAGGGGCCAGAACCAGCCAUGCCACCUGCCACCUGAAGUAGCAUUUGGAGACUCUACAUUGAUGGGGCAAACGUGCCAUGGUCUUUAUUUUCUCUAACUGCCAUUUUAUUCUCCUGCCCCAGGGCCCCAUCUCUUCUGUGUCAAGGGGACAGAAAGCCUUCAAAAGUGCUUGUAAAGGGCCACUCACUCUCUUUUCAGGGUAAUCCUGUCUUAUGUGGGCAAACCAUCCAUCUUUGGAGGAUCUUCUCCCCAUCUCCUCUCCAACCAAAAUGGCAGCUGAGCAAGGUUUCCUCCUGAUGUGCAUCCUGCUUCUGGAAACACCACCCCUCCAUCCUGAUCAUCAUUCGUUCCAUGCCUAGGAAUUCAACUCACUUGAAUAUCAACCUACAUUUGAAGGCAUGGAGUUCCAAUAUAAAAAAGACACUCUCCUGUAGUGCCUUCCAAACUCUGCGAGUUUAUAAGAACCGUGUCCCCCUCAUUCACCACUAUAUUACCUGACACAUGAUUUAAAUCUUGCAAUCACCGCUGGGAAGUGAGCUGUAUCAUCUUGAGAAAUCAGACCACAGAGUCGGGCCUGCAGCUGGCAGGCUAGGUCAUCUUUAAUCGCUUAACCCUUCAUAUCAAAGGAUGGGUUGUAGCAGCAGAUUCUUCCUCAAGAAUUUGCCGUGGCAGAUUUUCUCAAGGAAAAGCUGGGAGUUAAAAGGAAGCAGAGUAUGUACAGCAAAAACCUUGCCUUAAAUGCACAUUAACAAGUCAAGUGUGGGCAGUGCUGGCGUUCUCCAGUGAUACUUUACUGAGGCCUUGGGAAGAAAGCCAAGAAGAAACCAGCCCAGGGAGGAUGCUGAGGAUGCUGCACUGUGACUUGCUCCUCAGCAGCGAAAGGAUUCCCCUCAUCCCCGCUUCCAGCUCAUCUUCAUGGGGUGGGCAUCACUUCCGCACCUGUUACCCAGGAGCGCACCCCGGGCGUCUUGACUCCUUGAAGAACGGUGCCUAUGAAAUGCGGCUCUGAGAGAAACAAGAUUCUCUUCGCUGCCUGAGGCCUGCCUUUCGGGAACCUGCCACCUCUUUGGAUAAUUGACUCUAGGGAUGCUUGUCCCUCUCAAGGGAGACCACGUGUACUUCCAGGGACAAGACUUUUACCCUGCAGACCACAACAGGGUAUCCGGAUGUAAUUAUAAUGAUUGGCCUAAUCGAGAUGGCUCUACUCACGUGUAAAAGCAGAGGUUGUGUGAGAAAAUUCUGUGUGUGUGUGUAUGUGUGUGUGUGUGUGCGCAUAAAUGCAAGAAUGUUGGCUCAGAAGUCAGGGCACAUGACUUUUACAGUUCCAGCUCCAGUCCUAUCUUUUUAAACAAAUUUUUAAAUAGUUUUUAUUUAUUUAUUCAUUUAAGUGAUCGGUACACCCAACAUGGAGCUUAAAUUCACAAUCCCAAGAUCAAGAGUCGCACGCUCUUCUAACUGAGCCAGCCAGGCACCCCAGCUCCAGUCCUGCCUUACAAGAAAUUUCUACUCAGUGUGACCUGAGGGAGCUUAGGGUAGAACCUAAUCUGCUAUUAAUACCAGUCCUUUGGGUCUGAAGGACAUUUUUUUUUUCUAAGAAUCCUGUCUUAACACAGAGGAAAACUCACAAACUCCUUUGUUCUUGGUUAACUCCUAAGUGGAAGUUAACAGACAAGGCAGGGGGUGGAUGCUUUGGAGAUACUAGGGAACUCUGAUGCACAUGUGGACACCAGGACUUAUUACACUUCAUACUUUAGGUUGUAUCCAGGCCUGGACCUGCCCAGCUUUCUUGCAAAUAAAUACAUGUCACGUACUGCUCAAAAGCAUGUGCUACAUCAAUUAGGUCAGAGGCUCAAUAUGACUGAUCUUUCUUCUUUUUGUUUUCAUGUGGGAGAUUUAAAGAUAUUAUGUGGAGGAGAGAAAAAAAUGAUUGGAUUAAGUAUAUUAUUAUUAACAUGAAAGAUAUAUUAGCAUAUAAUAUACAUAUAACAUAUAAUAUAGUAUAUUAACAUAUAAUAAUUAAGUAUAUUAUUAUUAACAUGAAAAUAACUGGCCUUAUUAACUACUGGCAAUUGCCAAGCCCUAUAUGAAGCCCCUUAUCCAAUAUUAUUUAUCCAAUAAUCCAGUAGUAGAAUUACUACUCCAGUUUUCCAGAUAAGGAAGCUGAGAUCCUUAACUGAAAAGUUGAACUGUCUCAUCUAUGGUUGCUGCUAAGUGUUGGAAGUAAACCUGAAUAUAGCAGGCCUGUAUGGUGUUAAAGCACUGCCUUUAUUUUUACUUAAAUUUAUUUUGAACUAUUUCAAUCACACAGAAAACUUUAGAGAACAACACAAUAGACACUCAUGUUCCUAUCACCCAAUGUUAUUAGAUCUUAAUAUUCUGUCAUACUUGCUUUAUAUUUCAGGGUAUUUUUUAAAGGUAGGAAAUUUGUCUUUUUAAAAUUUGUGUGUAGAAAUUCUUUGUAGAGUCUGGAUGUUAAUUAUAUGAAUUGCAAUUUAUUUAUGAUAACAAGCAGAAAGUUUACAUUUAUUUAAAUGUAAUCAACUGUUUACGGUGGAGGUUUUUAGUCUUGUUAGGAUUUUUUCAUGGUUAGUGAUUGGUGGGUCCUAUUUUUGAAAUGUUUUUCUUUGUUAUCACCAAGAUAGCCUCCUUUUUCAGUUUUUUAGAGCGUUUCUUCCCACACCUAUCUGGAAUUUAAUGUUUGUGAAUGCAGUGAAGUGGAGCUCUACUUUCAUCCUUCCAAGAUGGAGCAAGACUUACCCCAAGACACUUCAUUCACCCUCGUUCUCCUCUGUGCCGUAUGAAAGUGGCUUCUCUGCUCUGUGUUCUGUCUCAUUGUUCUGUGGUCUGGGGCUGUGCCAGCACCAAACUAUUGCUUUGUUAGAAAACUCGAUAUGGGCAGGGCACAUCUCUUCAUGUCAUUCUUCUGCUUGUCCUUAGGUAAUUUGGACUUCUUACUCAUGCAUGUUAGGAUCAGCUUGUGUAGCUCCAUAAAAAGCCCCAUCAGAAUUUGGAUUGUAAUUGCAUUGAAUUAAUAUAUUAAUUUGGGGGUGGAAUUGAGCCUUUAUACAAUCGAGCCUUCCCAGGCAUGCACACAGUAUAGCUUUCCAUUUGUGGAAGUUUCAUGAUUCCCAGUAACAUUUUAGAAGAUUUCUCUAUAAAGUUCUUAUGAAGAUUUUUUUCACUUUUAUUCUUGAGGAGUUCAUCAUUUUUCUUGCUGUUGUAAAUGAGAUAUUUUUCCUAUUAUUUCUUCACAGCGCAUAGGAACGUUGUUAGCUCCUUAAAGAUUGCUUUUUGUACAUGAGAAUUGCUUAAUUUUCUUAUUUGUUCUAAUACUUGAUCAAUACCUUCAUAUUUUCUGUAUGUAAAAAUACGUUAUCAUAAAUAAGGUUGGUUUUUAUCUUCCUUUCCAUUUUUUAUAUCUCAUUCUUUAAUCUUGAUAUUAUUAGUUGGCUAGGACAUCUAGUAUAAAAGCUUUUUAUGUGCCUAUUGAGAAAGUCAUACGAUAUGUCUCCUUUAUAUUAGAGCAUCCUUACCUUCCUUUGAUAAAAGUAUUUUUGAAAUAUUUUUAUAUUUUUUAUGAAAUUUAUUCGUUUAUAUUUUAUUUAGGAUUUUUAUAUCUGUGUUCACAAAAAUGUUUAUAAUUUGAUUACUUGUGCUGCCUUUGUCACAUUUUAGUAUUAAAAGAUGGGUAACUUUCUCUUAUUUUUCCUUUCUCUGAAAUAUUUUAUAAAAGAUAUGAAUUGUCUGCUCCUUAUAGAUUUGCUAAGUUACCUUUAAAAUUGUUUGCAUCUGGUGUUUUGGGGGGGAAGGAGAUUUUGAUAACUGAUUCUAUUUUUUCUAGCAUUAGUUUAUUCAAGCUUUCUAUUUCUUCUUGAGUCAAUUUUGGUCAUUAAUAUUUUUCUAGAAAACUUCUCUUUCAUAUAUAUUUUAUGGUUGCCUCCAGCUAGAUGCAUGCAUUAAGGUUCUUGUUCUGUGUUGAUAUUGAGGGAUCUCACAUCCAGUCACACAAUCGGUGGUUGUCUAGCUUCACUUUCUAGCCACAAAAGUCUAUGACUUUUUUCUCCCUCUGAUUUCACUGUCUAAUGUCUUCCACGCCUGUUGCCCCUGGCUGCAGGCUACCAUUUUUCCCGGGCCUCCUUUUGCUUAUGUGGGAGCUCUGCCUAGCCCUGGCUUCAUGCAGUGAUCCUAGCUUUUCCAUCUAACUUCAGUCUCCUAUAAUCUCUCUUCGUUAACCGGAGGAAGCCAAGCUCUAAGAUUACCACUCCUGCUUCCAGCUCAGGCUGCAGCAGAUCCAUGGGUCUGUUCAGUCUCUUGAUUUUCUGUUCUUUUUCUGGUCCACAGCAAUUGGUUUUGGUUUUAUUGUUUUUUUUUCUUUAAAAAUUUUAACUUUUUGUAGCAGAGAGAGUUGUUAAAGAUGAAAGUCAUUGAGUUGUCUUGAAUGGAGGUUUCCCAGCACCUGCUUUUAACCAUUAGACUAUAGUGCCUCUUUAAUUAAUCACUCCUUUAGCAAUAUCCAGUCAUCCAUCCAGGAAAUUGCUAACUUGUGCACAGUUUCAUGCUCCCUGGAUUGAAGCAAGUGAAGUUCCUUUUGCUGAGAUUACCCUUAUUCUAGCCUAGCACAUAAAUAGAAGGGGUCAUGAAAUCAGUAUUUGACGCUCUUUUAAUGUCUUGAGUCCACUUGCCCCUCCUCCUUGCCCUUGACACUCUCCACUCUAGAGAUGAGGAAAUAGAAGUUCAAGGAGCUAAAAUUAUUGGAGCAAAUCUUCUCUAGGUAAUGGGAGACAUGGAACUAGAACACCUGGGUAGGCUGAUAUCAAACUUGACGUCUCCCCUACAAGAUUAGAGGUUCUCAGUUUUGGUGACACGUAGUAACACUGGGCAUCAUUUAAACAUCCUGAUAUCCUGAAUGGAUUGAGAAUUUUAGAGGUUGAGAAUUUUACAGGUUGGGGUCCAGACUUCUGUAUUUUUUCUAAAUUUGCCAGGUGCUUUCCGAGGCACAGUGAGAUUGAGGAACCCACCACUGAGUAAUGUCCUUUCUCGUUUACUUAAGCCUUCCUUUACGCUCUGUGUUUUUUUUUUUUUUUCCAAUGGCAGCCUUCACCCUAUAAGUAAGUGACACGAGCCAGGUCAUUAUUGUUCUCUCCAUCUUACCCUAUUUUAUAGUAUCCUCCUCCCUCCCCUUUGUUUUUGAUGAUUAAAACUUUUAGCAUAGGAUGUCUGUUUUGUUGCUUCAUGAUCAUCAUCAUAACAAUAACAGUUUACUUUUAAUUGCUCAUUUAAAAUCAACACACUAGUUUCCUUGGUAAGUGUGUAGAUGAAAUAUAUGUGUACACACACACACACACACACACACACACAAAUACACAAAUACAUAUCAGAGGGUCCUGAACACUAAGUAAUCACAUAGCAUAUUCAGUGCUUAGAAUUGGGUCAAUCUCUGGCCCAAGAGCACAUGUGUGCCAUAGGAACUAGAUCCUGCAUAACUGUGUGUCUUUGCUAGCUCAUUGCUUGCUUCCCCCAAUGUGAGCUAGUCACUUUUCUGAAUCUUGUGCUUGUCAUCUCCUUUAAAACAGUUUUAUUAUAUAUGUACAUUUCUAAGAUUAUGUUGCUUGGUUGGUUAUUUUUAAUUUUUUAGAAAAGAAAUCAUGUUGCCUGUAGUCUUCUGGAACCACCUCUUUUUUCCCCCCCAAAAUAUCGUAUUGCCAAGAGUCAACCAUAUUGUUAUGUGUAGUAGCUACAGUUCAUUAGUUUUGAGUGCCUCACGAUAUUUCAUUGUGGAGUACUCUAGAAUUUACUUAUCCAGUUGGAAUGUUUCCAGAUUUUUGCUUCCAAGAAUAGUACUACUAUGAAUAGUUUUGUACAUUCUUCCUGGUGCACAUAUGUACAAGUGUUUCUUGAGUAUAUACCUAGAAGUGGAAUUAGGGGGUUGCAGGGUAUAUGACAUGUGACUACUUAACUUGAUGAGAUAAUGCCAAAUUUUUUUCCAAUAAGGUUUUACCAGUUUACUCUCCCCCUGACAAUCCUAUGUAUCUAUAUAAUUUCUAACACUUGAUAAUGGCAUCUUUUUUUUUAAAUUCUGCCAAUCAAAUGGGUAUCAGAGGCAUCUAAUUAUGCAUUUCCUUGAUAUUUCCUCCAAUGUUUAUUGGCCAUAUGUAUUUACUCUUCUGUGAGAUGGUCGUUCGUGUCUUCUGUCCCUUUCUAUCAUUUUUUUUUUCUCCUUUCUUACAGAUUUAUAGUAGUUCUUUAUAUAUUCUCCACAUGAAUCCUUUUUGAUGGUCUGUGUGGCAAAUGUGUUUUUCCAAUUUUUACUUUAUCUUUUCCUAUAUUGCAUGUGUAAGAUCACACUUUGGCAUCUUCAUUUAGCACUAUCAACUGUUCCCCCCCAAAAAGGCUUGACAUAGUCAUUUGAUGUAUUCUAUAAUGGUUACAUUAGGUUUCCAUGAUUUCCACUAACUAUCUGUUAAACAUGUGUUAGGGUCCCAGUGGUAGACAAAUACUCCAAAGUAUUUCUCUGCACUUUAAUGGGGGGUUCUGAGGCUUAGGAUUGUGACUUGGAAGAAAUGUUUCUGGGUAGAGGGGCCACCAUCCCUCAACUCAAACCUGUCUACACCCACUGCUCCAUGGGCAGCUGAAAUAUGUUCAGGAUUCACAUCUUAUAGAACUCUUCUGAAAUACAAUUCCCCAGGAAGCUUUCAUUUUUCUCCAAGUAGUAAAACUCCCACUUCCUGAUAGUUACAAAGAUAGGUUUUGUUGUCAUAAUGCUUUCUCUGUGUGCUGCUUUGCAAUCAGAGUUUUCACCACUCAAUGGAUCCAUCACCGAGCAGCACAUUACAGCAAACGCAUAUCCGUUUGCCUCUAUUAUUGUCAUAAUCAAAAGGCGGGGCUACAUUGAAAUAUUUGCUUCGUGCAUGCAUAUCUGUUAUCCGAAGGGCCCUUUAACCUAAAUGGUGUGCUUUCUGUAAUGUCUUCGGUUAAUGAAUGGGUCUGUGAGGGCCUCAGAGCAGUGCAAUGUGGGAAGAACGCUAUAAUUUCUUUUUAACAUGCAGGAAUUCUGAAUACGAGAAAAUGCAUGCCAAAUUUUAUUGCUUCUAAAUCUGAAUAAUUGUAUUUCUGGGCUGUGCAUCUGGGUAGAUAAUAAAGCCACAAAACAAUUUAAUGAAACAUAUAAAAAAUAAAAUGACAUUACUAAAUAUUAUAAUAUGAAGAAACUAUUUUUUGCAUAUUGUCACCUAAUCUUUCAACCAUAUAGCAACAAAUAAUGCAACCAUAAUUGAAAGUUUUAUUAUCCAUCUGAGUAAAUUGAGCUCAAAUUUACCUUGUUCUCGUUAGUUGGUGGGCAAGCCUAUUGGGGCUACUGACAGGAUUUCAUUUUCGUGGUGGAUUUUUUUUUUUUUUUUUGCCCUUUCUAUGGAAUCUAAAGUGGUCAAUAAAUAGCCCUGCUGCUUAAUCGAUUCUGAACUCAGCUCUUCAGAAAGCCACUCCUCGGCCCUGUGACCCAUGCUGGCAGCCAGCCCUGUGUUUGCUGAGUUUCAGAAACUGGCUCCAGUCUUCCUGGUCCUAAAGCCCCACAAACAUGCCAAGGAGCCCAGUGUCUUUACUCCCUGUUUGCUGCAGGCCCUACUUCCUGAUUGCACUCACACAACUCCGGAGGGGAUGCUCCAUUUGCUAUGGGAGGAAUUAGCAUGGACUCUGAAGUGAGAGCGGGAAGAGACUGAUGGGCUGGCCUAUCCACGAGAUUGCUCAUUCUGCUUUGCGAAGGUCCACAAACUGUCUCCCCCCCGCCCCCAUGGCAGAGGGUGGGGUGGAGGCCGUGCCACAGGAAGAAUCCCUGGCAUUUCUGAUCUAGAGACCCAUGUGUGAGCCCCCACUGCGAGGACUCAGGCCCACUCGUUCUUAGGGGAGUGUGGGCACCUCCAAGCCUCGGGAAAAGACAGCACAUCUUUCUGAAGCAUCUGAAGGGUUGUGGGAAAACUAUUGAUUUCAGCAGUAAUUUUUAGUUAUGCUUAUUGUAAGAUGUUUGGCCUUUUCCUGGAGCUUUGGUUUGAAGAAUCAGUCCACCUGGCUGUUUCCCUGUUUUCAAGUUCACUGCAGUGGGCCUCUUGAAAUUGUCCAAACUGUGGGCUGCCCAGAUGUGAGAGGAUGCUUCAUCAGGCAGACUCAGGGGCACCUCACAGCAAGAAAGCUGGGGCUCUGGCAUCACCCUGUCUUUCAUCUCCCAUGUCUGCAUCAGAGAGAGCUAGCAGGAGGAACUAGCAUUAGGCAAGUGAUGCUUCCAGAACCGCUUUCCCCUUCAGAGCUCUGGAAUAGAGUCUGGGCCUCAUUUUAUUAGACUCCCCCUACCUUUUUUCUCAGGGAUCUUGUUCCCCUUUUCUGCCCGUUGGCCUGUUCAGGCCAACUCUGCUCCAUCUGGUGUGUUUCACUAACUUCAUGCUUCAAAGAGAAGGGGUUGGGAGUUUUUUGUUGCUUUUCUCCCAAAGCUCUGGUGUGCUUAGGCAGAUGGGCCCAGACCCUUACCCUCAGCCUCCAGGUAUAGAAGGGGGAGGGCUGGAAGGAGGUCCAGCACCCCUGACCUCAUUCCUGACCCUUCACUGGAGGUCCCAACAGGUCAAAAGUUUCCUUCACAUGUCCCUUCCCCCACUGGAGCAAAUAUGUGGGGCACUUGGGUUGUGCUCUCUAUCAGCAUAGAGCCCUUCUGCUUCAACGGUAACAAAGUCCCUUCUUGACAGAUGAUCCAUGAGGAUUAGGAAAACCUCACCACCGACAAACCCCUCUCCCCACUGACAGCAAGGUUAUGUUGAUAUUUUGGAGAAACUGUUUUUAAAAAAAUGUUUUGUUCUGUUUUUUAAUUUUUUUUUUCAACGUUUAUUUAUUUUUGGGACAGAGAGAGACAGAGCAUGAACA